ACACAUGCAAGUCGAACGGCAGCACAGAGGAGCUUGCUCCUUGGGUGGCGAGUGGCGGACGGGUGAGUAAUGCAUCGGGACCUACCCAGACGUGGGGGAUAACGUAGGGAAACUUACGCUAAUACCGCAUACGUCCUACGGGAGGAAGCAGGGGACCUUCGGGCCUUGCGCGGUUGGACGGACCGAUGUGCGAUUAGCUAGUUGGUAGGGUAAUGGCCUACCAAGGCGACGAUCGCUAGCUGGUCUGAGAGGAUGAUCAGCCACACUGGGACUGAGACACGGCCCAGACUCCUACGGGAGGCAGCAGUGGGGAAUAUUGGACAAUGGGCGCAAGCCUGAUCCAGCAAUGCCGCGUGUGUGAAGAAGGCCUUCGGGUUGUAAAGCACUUUUAUCAGGAACGAAAUACCACGGGUUAAUACCCUAUGGGGCUGACGGUACCUGAGGAAUGAGCACCGGCUAACUUCGUGCCAGCAGCCGCGGUAAUACGAAGGGUGCAAGCGUUAAUCGGAAUUACUGGGCGUAAAGGGUGCGUAGGCGGUUCGUUAAGUCUGUCGUGAAAUCCCCGGGCUCAACCUGGGAAUGGCGAUGGAUACUGGCGAGCUAGAGUGUGUCAGAGGAUGGUGGAAUUCCCGGUGUAGCGGUGAAAUUCGUAGAGAUCGGGAGGAACAUCAGUGGCGAAAGGCGGCCAUCUGGGACAACACUGACGCUGAAGCACGAAAGCGUGGGGAGCAAACAGGAUUAGAUACCCUGGUAGUCCACGCCCUAAACGAUGCGAACUGGAUGUUGGUCUCAACUCGGAGAUCAGUGUCGAAGCUAACGCGUGAGUUGACCGCCUGGGAG
Molecule: ribosomal RNA, 840 nt
Filed under: uncultured bacterium
Lineage: Bacteria
Description: bacterial SSU rRNA
Rfam family: Bacterial small subunit ribosomal RNA
Source: RNAcentral